RNAcentral lists this ribosomal RNA (500 nucleotides) under uncultured Glomeromycotina. RNAcentral describes it as "partial small subunit ribosomal RNA". It matches the Rfam family "Eukaryotic small subunit ribosomal RNA", at positions 591 to 1092 of the family's 1831-position model. Lineage: Eukaryota; Fungi; Glomeromycota. The record is from RNAcentral.
CCAAUAGCGUAUAUUAAAGUUGUUGCAGUUAAAAAGCUCGUAGUUGAAUUUCGGGAUCAAUAUAUCGGUCGUGCCUUUGGUACGUACUGGUAUCAUUGAUUUCUCCUUUCUUACGAAUCAUGAUGUCAUUAAUUUGGUGUUAUGAGGAGUUAGGACUGUUACUUUGAAAAAAUUAGAGUGUUUAAAGCAGGCAUUAGCUUGAAUACAUUAGCAUGGAAUAAUGAAAUAGGACGUUUGACCCUAUUUUGUUGGUUUUUAGGAUCGACGUAAUGAUUAAUAGGGAUAGUUGGGGGCAUUAGUAUUCAAUUGUCAGAGGUGAAAUUCUUGGAUUUAUUGAAGACUAACUACUGCGAAAGCAUUUGCCAAGGAUGUUUUCAUUAAUCAAGAACGAAAGUUAGGGGAUCGAAGACGAUCAGAUACCGUCGUAGUCUUAACCAUAAACUAUGCCGACUAGGGAUCGGAUGAUGUUAAUUUUAUAAUGACUCAUUCGGCGCCUUACG